CGAGCAGAGGGAAGAACCCUGAAUGCAUCAGCCGUGAGACUGGCCGCAGACCUAGGAGGGAAGGAUGCGUCGAAGAAGUGAACCGAUGACUGGCAGUGGCACUAUUGAGAGGGCUUCAGUUUUUUUGAUCACGGUGCACACUUCAAGGAGAGACAACUCCUGGGAAGGGACGGCUUCCACCUCAUGCAGAGAGAUAAUCUGGCACGGGCCAUUGAGCUUCUUGAAGGACCAAAACCUUGAACCCAACUCCGAAUUCUAAGGAAAACCAGGGCAGAGAGCAGAGGACAGCUUUGACAGGAAAUGUGGAGAAUAAGAACCAAAGAGAAAUGAGCCAUAAAAAAAACGGGGAGCGAUAACAUGUAAGAAUACAAGAUAUCAGAAUUAAAGAAUGACGGAGAAAGUAUCAUGCUAAAGUAGGAAACCACCAUCACACAGCAAUGAUGGUCUGAGUGUUUCAUGUACAGAGGCCUGUGCAAUAAUAACAGGACUCCAUUUGGAUUGCAAGAACGUGGAUCUCUGUUA
Molecule: long non-coding RNA, 522 nt
Organism: Alligator sinensis (Chinese alligator)
Lineage: Eukaryota; Metazoa; Chordata; Crocodylia; Alligatoridae
Exons: 4
Source: RefSeq, a predicted model, not a curated record